AGAGUUUGAUCAUGGCUCAGGAUGAACGCUAGCUACAGGCUUAACACAUGCAAGUCGAGGGGCAUCAGUUUGGUUUGCUUGCAAACCAAAGCUGGCGACCGGCGCACGGGUGAGUAACACGUAUCCAACCUGCCUCAUACUCGGGGAUAGCCUUUCGAAAGAAAGAUUAAUAUCCGAUAGCAUAUAUUUCCCGCAUGGGUUUUAUAUUAAAGAAAUUCGGUAUGAGAUGGGGAUGCGUUCCAUUAGUUUGUUGGCGGGGUAACGGCCCACCAAGACUACGAUGGAUAGGGGUUCUGAGAGGAAGGUCCCCCACAUUGGAACUGAGACACGGUCCAAACUCCUACGGGAGGCAGCAGUGAGGAAUAUUGGUCAAUGGACGCGAGUCUGAACCAGCCAAGUAGCGUGAAGGAUGACUGCCCUAUGGGUUGUAAACUUCUUUUAUAUGGGAAUAAAGUGGUCCACGUGUGGAUUUUUGUAUGUACCAUAUGAAUAAGGAUCGGCUAACUCCGUGCCAGCAGCCGCGGUAAUACGGAGGAUCCGAGCGUUAUCCGGAUUUAUUGGGUUUAAAGGGAGCGUA
Molecule: ribosomal RNA, 577 nt
Filed under: uncultured bacterium
Lineage: Bacteria
Description: bacterial SSU rRNA
Rfam family: Bacterial small subunit ribosomal RNA
Source: RNAcentral